RNAcentral lists this ribosomal RNA (497 nucleotides) under uncultured bacterium. RNAcentral's name for it is "partial 16S ribosomal RNA". It matches the Rfam family "Bacterial small subunit ribosomal RNA", at positions 28 to 507 of the family's 1533-position model. The record is from RNAcentral.
GACGAACGCUGGCGGCGUGCCUAAUACAUGCAAGUAGAACGCUGAAGAGAGGAGCUUGCUCUUCUUGGAUGAGUUGCGCACGGGUGAGUAACGCGUAGGUAACCUGCCUUGUAGCGGGGGAUAACUAUUGGAAACGAUAGCUAAUACCGCAUAACAAUGGAUGACACAUGUCAUUUAUUUGAAAGGGGCAAUUGCUCCACUACAAGAUGGACCUGCGUUGUAUUAGCUAGUAGGUGAGGUAAUGGCUCACCUAGGCGACGAUACAUAGCCGACCUGAGAGGGUGAUCGGCCACACUGGGACUGAGACACGGCCCAGACUCCUACGGGAGGCAGCAGUAGGGAAUCUUCGGCAAUGGGGGCAACCCUGACCGAGCAACGCCGCGUGAGUGAAGAAGGGUGUCGGAUCGUAAAGCUCUGUUGUAGGUCAAGAACGGGUGUGAGAGUGGAAAGUUCACACUGUGACGGUAGCUUACCAGAAAGGGACGGCUAACUACGUG